GCCUCCUAUGCCAGAUCAUCCAUACACUAGAGACUCUGACUCACCACCGCCUACCACAGAGUAUGCUGAGGGGUUACUCGGGUUAGUGGCCUCGCUCGAAGGCAUGGUCUUGCGGAGAGAGGCGCAACUGUCCAUCAUGGGCGUCUCGAUGCCUCCGAUAUAUACCAGACCACAGGCCGGGCCAUCUGGGCCUUCC
Camellia sinensis is the source of this 196-nucleotide non-coding RNA. The record is from RefSeq and is a predicted model, not a curated record. NCBI's taxonomy places the organism in Eukaryota, Viridiplantae, Streptophyta, Magnoliopsida, Ericales, Theaceae.